RNAcentral lists this ribosomal RNA (254 nucleotides) under uncultured bacterium. RNAcentral's name for it is "partial 16S ribosomal RNA". It matches the Rfam family "Bacterial small subunit ribosomal RNA", at positions 524 to 776 of the family's 1533-position model. The record is from RNAcentral.
UACGGAGGGGGCUAGCGUUGUUCGGAAUUACUGGGCGUAAAGCGCGCGUAGGUGGUUCGGUAAGUCGGAUGUGAAAUCUCCAGGCUCAACCUGGAGGGGUCAUUCGAUACUGCCGUGACUAGAGUUCGGUAGGGGAGUGUGGAAUUCCUGGUGGAGCGGUGAAAUGCGCAGAUAUCAGGAGGAACACCCGUAGCGAAGGCGGCACUCUGGGCCGAUACUGACACUGAGGAGCGAAAGCGUGGGGAGCGAACAGG